This 250-nucleotide ribosomal RNA is filed under the name uncultured bacterium. RNAcentral describes it as "partial 16S ribosomal RNA". It matches the Rfam family "Bacterial small subunit ribosomal RNA", at positions 524 to 772 of the family's 1533-position model. The record is from RNAcentral.
UACGAAGGGAGCUAGCGUUGUUCGGAAUUACUGGGCGUAAAGGGCGUGUAGGUGGUUCUAUAAGCAAGAUGUGAAAGCCCCAGGCUUAACCUGGGAAUGGCAUUUUGUACUGUAGGACUUAGAGUGCGAGAGGGGGAAGUGGAAUGGCGAGUGGAGCAGUGAAAUGCGUUGAUAUUCGUUGGAACACCAGAGGCGAAGGCGACUUCCUGGCUCGACACUGACACUAAGGCGCGAAAGCGUGGGGAGCAAA